Molecule: ribosomal RNA, 402 nt
Filed under: uncultured bacterium
Lineage: Bacteria
Description: bacterial SSU rRNA
Rfam family: Bacterial small subunit ribosomal RNA
Source: RNAcentral
UUGGGAAUCUUGGACAAUGGGGGAAACCCUGAUCCAGCCAUGCCGCGUGAGUGAUGAAGGCCUUCGGGUUGUAAAACUCUUUCGACGGGGACGAUAAUGACGGUACCCGUAGAAGAAGCUCCGGCUAACUUCGUGCCAGCAGCCGCGGUAAUACGAAGGGGGCUAGCGUUGUUCGGAAUUACUGGGCGUAAAGCGCGCGCAGGCGGUUCUCCAAGUCAGUGGUGAAAGCCCGGAGCUCAACUCCGGAACUGCCAUUGAAACUGUUGAACUUGAGGACGAGAGAGGUGAGUGGAAUUCCCAGUGUAGAGGUGAAAUUCGUAGAUAUUGGGAAGAACACCGGUGGCGAAGGCGGCUCACUGGCUCGUAUCUGACGCUCAGGCGCGAUAGCGUGGGGAUCAAACA